Molecule: ribosomal RNA, 497 nt
Filed under: uncultured bacterium
Lineage: Bacteria
Description: partial 16S ribosomal RNA
Rfam family: Bacterial small subunit ribosomal RNA
Source: RNAcentral
GACGAACGCUGGCGGCGUGCCUAAUACAUGCAAGUCGAGCGGACGGAUGGGAGCUUGCUCCCAGACCGUCAGCGGCGGACGGGUGGGUAACACGUGGGCAACCUGCCUGUAAGACUGGGAUAACUCCGGGAAACCGGGGCUAAUACCGGAUAACUCUUUCCCUCACAUGAGGGAAAGCUGAAAGAUGGCAUCUCGCUAUCACUUACAGAUGGGCCCGCGGCGCAUUGCUAGUUGGUGAGGUAACGGCUCACCAAGGCGACGAUGCGUAGCCGACCUGAGAGGGUGAUCGGCCACACUGGGACUGAGACACGGCCCAGACUCCUACGGGAGGCAGCAGUAGGGAAUCUUCCGCAAUGGACGAAAGUCUGACGGAGCAACGCCGCGUGAGUGAUGAAGGUUUUCGGAUCGUAAAACUCUGUUGUCAGGGAAGAACAAGUACCGGAGUAACUGCCGGUACCUUGACGGUACCUGACCAGAAAGCCACGGCUAACUACGUG